AAAUCAUUAGAGCUGAAAGCAAAUUCAAUUUCGAGAAGUAGCAAUCAGUUGUAUAGCUGGUUAAACCAUGCAUUAUACAUAUGCUAAAUGGUUCAAAAUGAAGGGGACACAGUUUUGAUAAUGGCAUACAUUCUGUCCAAAAGUGGAGGUACAGUUCCUCGCAGGGUAAGGUUGAGCUAACGUCUCUGACAGGUGGCGGCGGUCGUUGACAAUCAGUCUACAGGCGAUGAAUGACAGCUUCUAUUAAAAAAGUAAAAGACAUUGGCAAAUAGAGAAGAGAGCUCCCCAGUUCCAGACGAUCUGUCUAAGCCCUUAAAACUGCAACAACCAGAGGAGCAGCGACGAUCAGGCCUCCAUCUAAAGUGUCUGAAAAUAACAUGAACGAAAUCCAAAUGAGUUCACACAACUUGAUGUUUCACAAGUGUUAGCAACAACCAAAAGAAAAAUUGGCCCAAAACUUGACUAAACGUCUAGAAAGAAGCAUUUCAUCCACAUCUGAAACUUAAGAAAGAUCUCUGACCAAGGUCAAUAGCUUCUGAUCCUUUCAUUAUAAAAAACAAUAGGCAUGUUUUAGACAUAUAAGUGCUGGUUGCUUCUAAGUAAUAUGCGCCUUUUUUAAGAUGCACACUCAAACGUGUUAGACAGUGCUUAUUGGUUAUCAAGGUCGAGCAAUGUUGGCAGAUCAUGAACCAGCCAGGGAUAGCUAGAAAAGAUGCUAAGAUCAUGAGCUAGCUGUGUGUACAUAUGAGAGAGAUGGUACCUUCACGAUCUAGUCGAGCGACCCUUGCCUCUCCUGAGAUUAUUGGUGAGGAUCAAAAGUAAGAAAUAUAUCCCUCAGUAAAAGGCCCAAACGGCUUCCUCCUAUGCAGUAUUGCACCAUUAUUAUUAUUUGUGGGAAAGGUCUAGAGUUAUGGUAAAUAUCUCAUGUCUUCUAUUCUCAUGUAAAUAAGAAUUAUUGUGACCUUGAACCUUAGGCAUAUUGAUAACUCAACUCUUGCUUUUCUGCUUCAGAAUAUAUAUAAAGUUGUACGCCUUUAUUUGUUAAAAUAAAAUCAAACUGAUUAUUUAUUGAUCAUUAACUAAUACCUCACUUAGAGAUACUACGUAUUGUUGCCAAAAUCUUAUUUUAAAUACAACCAAGAUGAACAGAAAUAAAUCUCAACUUACUUUUGGUGGAAACACGCUUGUCCUAAUUGAUCAUUCCUUGAGACAGUGAUCUGCUCAACAUAUCGCAAGUCAAUAUGCAACCACAUAAGCAUCGGCAUCAAAACAACACGAGGAAUGAAAUGUUUGAUAUCUCAAACAGAGAGCAAUCAGUACUACAGAUCUGUCGCUAACCAGCCUUCCAAUGCAUGCAUAUUUGUAUAACAUUGUCUGCACCAUUUAUGCUUUUCACGUCCCUCAUUGCUGCAACACAUAUGCUGCUAAGUCAGAUCCAACUAAAUAAAUAAUACAUGUAUCUGUUUGAACUGUCACAACUGACAAUAAAAAUAGACUUUAUAUGAACCAG
RNAcentral lists this long non-coding RNA (1510 nucleotides) under Triticum aestivum (bread wheat). RNAcentral's name for it is "long non-coding RNA (TAES_LNC026867)". Lineage: Eukaryota; Viridiplantae; Streptophyta; Magnoliopsida; Poales; Poaceae. The record is from RNAcentral.